This 497-nucleotide ribosomal RNA is filed under the name uncultured bacterium. Its description in RNAcentral is "partial 16S ribosomal RNA". It matches the Rfam family "Bacterial small subunit ribosomal RNA", at positions 28 to 507 of the family's 1533-position model. The record is from RNAcentral.
GAUGAACGCUGGCGGCGUGCCUAAUACAUGCAAGUCGAGCGAACGGACGAGAAGCUUGCUUCUCUGAUGUUAGCGGCGGACGGGUGAGUAACACGUGGAUAACCUACCUAUAAGACUGGGAUAACUUCGGGAAACCGGAGCUAAUACCGGAUAAUAUUUUGAACCGCAUGGUUCAAAAGUGAAAGACGGUCUUGCUGUCACUUAUAGAUGGAUCCGCGCUGCAUUAGCUAGUUGGUAAGGUAACGGCUUACCAAGGCAACGAUGCAUAGCCGACCUGAGAGGGUGAUCGGCCACACUGGAACUGAGACUCGGUCCAGACUCCUACGGGAGGCAGCAGUAGGGAUGCUUCCGCAUUGGGCGAAAGCCUGACGGAGCAACGCCGCGUGAGUGAUGAAGGUCUUCGGAUCGUAAAACUCUGUUAUUAGGGAAGAACAUAUGUGUAAGUAACUGUGCACAUCUUGACGGUACCUAAUCAGAAAGCCACGGCUAACUACGUG